RNAcentral lists this ribosomal RNA (379 nucleotides) under uncultured bacterium. RNAcentral describes it as "bacterial SSU rRNA". It matches the Rfam family "Bacterial small subunit ribosomal RNA", at positions 523 to 898 of the family's 1533-position model. The record is from RNAcentral.
ACACGUAGGGGGCGAGCGUUGUCCGGAUUUAUUGGGCGUAAAGAGCUCGUAGGCGGUUUCGUAAGUCGGGUGUGAAAACUCCAGGCUCAACCUGGAGACGCCACCCGAAACUGCGAUGACUAGAGUCCGGUAGGGGAGCGUGGAAUUCCUGGUGUAGCGGUGAAAUGCGCAGAUAUCAGGAGGAACACCGACGGCGAAGGCAGCGCUCUGGGCCGGUACUGACGCUGAGGAGCGAAAGCGUGGGGAGCGAACAGGAUUAGAUACCCUGGUAGUCCACGCCGUAAACGUUGGGCACUAGGUGUGGGAUCUUUCCAACGGAUUCCGUGCCGUAGCUAACGCAUUAAGUGCCCCGCCUGGGGAGUACGGCCGCAAGGCUAAA